UGCCAUGUCCGCACCCAGGAUCGGAACCCGCAAACCCUGGGCCUCUGAAGCAGAACGUGUGAACUUAACCGCUCGCCCCCGGGCCGGCCCCUCACUCUGUUUUGUGCUCGGAUUAGAAGAAAACAUCCAGCGACUCGUCAGCGCGAGUUUUUUUUUCAGCUCAAUCUUUCAUCGUAACAAACAGCACUUUAGGUGACCGCGUGCGCUGUCCCCGGGUCCCGCCUGGUCCUCUCGCUGCCGCUGGUGCCCGGAGCCCGGAGCAGCUCAGCCGACAGCCCGGCGGGAGGCCCUCGGAGUCGCCUGGCUCCUGCCGCGGCCGCGGUCCUCUGCUGGGGGUCCGUCCAAGUGUCCGCUGUCUGCGGCUGGGGCUCGGCGACCCCUGCCCCUUCCCCCUGAGGGGUUCUCCUGGCACAUCAGCCGGCCCGUCCCCUCCUCAGGAGUGGGGUGUGGAGGCGGGGAGAGAUGGAAGGAAAAGUGGCCCGAGAGCCAAAACAGCACCAUUUCCCCUCGCUAUCAGCAUGAGAAAGGGCAGGGUGGCCCUCGACAUCCUUUUGUUUUGGUAAAAAGUCUCCGUGACACCGUAUGUUUUGCCCUCACAGCCCUUCUCAGUUCGGACCGACCGCGUCUCGAGCGCUCGGUGCCCUGAGUGGCCGGUGGCUGCCGGGCGGUCAGUGCGGGUCUGACCCCUGUGCUCUGUCCCCUCCCUGCGAUCACUUUGGUCUCUAUGGGGGCCAUUCUGCCCCUCAACUCAGGGACACUGGGCCACGUCUGGGGACGUCUGUGGCUGUCACACUGGGGGUGCUCCUGGCAUCGAGUGGGUGGGGCCAGGGAUGCUGCUCGGCCCCCCCACAGCGCCCAGGACGGCCCCCCAGGGAGUGACCCUCCCCGAGGUGAUGUCAUCAGUGCCUGAUUUGGCCCAAACUCCUCCCUGAAUUGACGGGGUAGGAGGCCACCGUCUCCCCAUAGCAGAGGUGAGACCCUGAAGCCACCGGAUUUCCUGUUUCCAGAGCCUAGGACGGUGUGGCAGGGGGAUGUGGGCCCAGAACCUUCUGGAAGGGCGCUGGGCUCCCAUGCAGGCCCCGUGGGGGUCCUGGAGGAUGGAGGAGCAGCCCCCCCAUGGCUUCAGUGGCCCCAGAGCCGGCCACGGUGCCCGAGAGAGCUCACCGCGCCCCAGAGCCAGCGCGGGGCAGACCCCGGGAGACGACGUCCGGCCGAGGACCACCUGCGAAGGACGAAGGACAGUGACCCAGAGCCCUGGGGGCGCGGAGGGCAUCCCGGAGCCGGGGAACCGGCCUGAGCAAAGGCUGGCGGUGAAACUGCAUCACGGGGACCCCUGGAGAGACUGGCCUGGUUGGGGGUAUGCACUAGGGGUCGGGGGUCAAAGGCCUUAGCAAGCGUCCAGCAGAGCGGUGACCACUCGGGGCGGGCGGGGAGGGGGCCUCGGCGCAGGAGGGGUCAGGAGGCCCCGCUGUAUCCGGGGGACCCUUCGAUUUCUGGGGCUUGGGAGGGGGGUGAGCGAGGGGCCUCCCAGCCGGACAGGAGCGCAUCAGCAUUGCCACGCCCGUCGGCCGUGGGCGCAGGACCGGGUGGCCCUCAGGACGCUGCUUCUGGGGUGCCCUGAGCCCCGUCACACUCAGCACGGUUCCCGCCCCUGGUAAACCCCCUGCAAGUCAGCUGGUCACCCUCAGAGGAGUUAAACAGGGAGCGACCUUCGGACCUGGCACUUCAGCCCUGUGUCCACGCGGGAGAAAUGAAGACACGUGUCCACACGGACGCUUACUCCUGAAUGUCCACGGCAGCACGAGUCACGAGAGCUAAAAAGUGGACACAACCCAAACGUCCAUCACCAGAUGAUGGACACACACACGUGUCCCUCCACACACUGGGACACGACGCAGCCGUGAAGAGGAGCGAGGCCCUGACAUGGCCACACGUGGACGGACCUGAACACGCGACGCUCAGAGAGAGAAGCAGACACAGAAGGACACACGGCGUGUGACCCCAUUGACAUGAAACAUCCAGAACAGGCCGAUCCACAGACAGAGAGCGGGCUCGUGGGGGCCAGGGGCUGGGGAGGGACUGCUCAUGGGGACAGGGCUUCUUUUUAGGGUGAUGGAAUGUUCUGGAACAAGAUCAAGGUGAUGGUUGCACAACUAUGUGAAUGCACUGAAAAGCCCUAAAUUGUACCCUUGAAAUGUUUUAAGGGGUGGAUUUGACCUUAAUAAAAAAGUCAGCUGCUGGCAG
Molecule: long non-coding RNA, 2244 nt
Organism: Equus caballus (horse)
Lineage: Eukaryota; Metazoa; Chordata; Mammalia; Perissodactyla; Equidae
Source: RefSeq, a predicted model, not a curated record